Molecule: non-coding RNA, 354 nt
Organism: Hydra vulgaris (swiftwater hydra)
Lineage: Eukaryota; Metazoa; Cnidaria; Hydrozoa; Anthoathecata; Hydridae
Source: RefSeq, a predicted model, not a curated record
CUUUAAAAAAUAUAUUGUAUAUUAUAGGCAUAGACCUAGUCGUAGGUAGCAAUUCUACGGCACUAUGAAAAUUAUUUGACAUUUGACAAAAAACACCGAAUUUUCAUAAACUUCAAUCUCUUAUAUCUUUUUGUUUAGUUAUGCAAGCAUUAUGCUUCAAUGGCUUCACUUAAAUAUUAUCAAUAUCUUGAGACCACUUUUAUUUAAAAAGUUGCCACGGACACAUUUUUUCAAGAGUAGCUUUUAAAGAUGUUGUCAAUAGUUCACAUCAACAAUUUCAAAGAGCAGAGUUUCUGCUGUUACACCUGCUAUUGCUGUUGUAAGUACUCCAAGUUUUAGGAAGUUCUAUUGCUG